CAUCUAUCUUUUAUCACAAUCGCGGGAAACCGCGAUAAGGGAACCCCGAGUGCCAGCAUCACAUGUUGGCUGUCCAGAUGAUUAAAAAUCAUUUGUUCUUAAGGGCCGGGCAAGACCGGGGCCAGCCGCCGCGGUAACACCGGCGGCCCGAGUGGUAGCCGUUUUUAUUGGGUCUAAAGGGUCCGUAGCCGGCUUGAUAAGUCCUUUGGGAAAUCUGGCAGCUUAACUGUCAGGCUUCUAAGGGAUACUGUCAGGUUUGGAACCGGAAGAGGAAAGGGGACUCCGGGGGUAGGAGUGAAACCUUGUAAUCCCUGGGGACCAUCUGUGGGGAAGGGGCUUUACCAGAACGGGGCUGACGGGGAGGGACGAAAACUUGGGGGGGAAACCGGAUUAGAACCCGGGUAGUCCAGGGCGCAAACCCUCUUUGCUUGAGGUUAGCUGGGCUCCGAGCUCAGUAAGGGUGGGAGAAAAGUUGUUAAGCAAGUGCCUGGUAAGUACAACCCCAAGAUGAAAACUUAAAGAAUUGGGGGGGGAAAGGGCGAAUCCUUUAAACCUUGCGGGACAGCCCUUUUAGGGGGGGUAAAUUCUGAGCUGGGGGGAACCAUGGCAUAGCUUUUCCUAGAA
RNAcentral lists this ribosomal RNA (624 nucleotides) under uncultured Methanococcoides sp. RNAcentral's name for it is "partial 16S ribosomal RNA". It matches the Rfam family "Archaeal small subunit ribosomal RNA", at positions 340 to 963 of the family's 1478-position model. The record is from RNAcentral. Lineage: Archaea; Methanobacteriati; Methanobacteriota; Methanomicrobia; Methanosarcinales; Methanosarcinaceae.